GAGUAAUGCUUAGGAAUCUGCCUAUUAGUGGGGGACAACAUUUCGAAAGGAAUGCUAAUACCGCAUACGUCCUACGGGAGAAAGCAGGGGAUCUUCGGACCUUGCGCUAAUAGAUGAGCCUAAGUCGGAUUAGCUAGUUGGUGGGGUAAAGGCCUACCAAGGCGACGAUCUGUAGCGGGUCUGAGAGGAUGAUCCGCCACACUGGGACUGAGACACGGCCCAGACUCCUACGGGAGGCAGCAGUGGGGAAUAUUGGACAAUGGGCGCAAGCCUGAUCCAGCCAUGCCGCGUGUGUGAAGAAGGCCUUAUGGUUGUAAAGCACUUUAAGCGAGGAGGAGGCUACUUUAGUUAAUACCUAGAGAUAGUGGACGUUACUCGCAGAAUAAGCACCGGCUAACUCUGUGCCAGCAGCCGCGGUAAUACAGAGGGUGCAAGCGUUAAUCGGAUUUACUGGGCGUAAAGCGCGCGUAGGCGGCUAAUUAAGUCAAAUGUGAAAUCCCCGAGCUUAACUUGGGAAUUGCAUUCGAUACUGGUUAGCUAGAGUGUGGGAGAGGAUGGUAGAAUUCCAGGUGUAGCGGUGAAAUGCGUAGAGAUCUGGAGGAAUACCGAUGGCGAAGGCAGCCAUCUGGCCUAACACUGACGCUGAGGUGCGAAAGCAUGGGGAGCAAACAGGAUUAG
Molecule: ribosomal RNA, 678 nt
Filed under: Acinetobacter sp. DH52-2
Lineage: Bacteria; Pseudomonadati; Pseudomonadota; Gammaproteobacteria; Moraxellales; Moraxellaceae
Description: bacterial SSU rRNA
Rfam family: Bacterial small subunit ribosomal RNA
Source: RNAcentral